UGGGGAAUAUUGCACAAUGGGCGAAAGCCUGAUGCAGCAACGCCGCGUGAGUGAUGAAGGUCUUCGGAUUGUAAAGCUCUGUCUUUUGGGACGAUAAUGACGGUACCAAAGGAGGAAGCCACGGCUAACUACGUGCCAGCAGCCGCGGUAAUACGUAGGUGGCGAGCGUUGUCCGGAUUUACUGGGCGUAAAGGGUGCGUAGGCGGAUGUUUAAGUGAGAUGUGAAAUACCCGGGCUUAACUUGGGUGCUGCAUUUCAAACUGGAUAUCUAGAGUGCAGGAGAGGAGAAUGGAAUUCCUAGUGUAGCGGUGAAAUGCGUAGAGAUUAGGAAGAACACCAGUGGCGAAGGCGAUUCUCUGGACUGUAACUGACGCUGAGGCACGAAAGCGUGGGUAGCAAACAGGAUUAGAUACCCUGGUAGUCCACGCCGUAAACGAUGAGUACUAGGUGUAGGAGGUAUCGACCCCUUCUGUGCCGCAGUAAACACAUUAAGUANUCCGCCUGGGAAGUA
Molecule: ribosomal RNA, 511 nt
Filed under: uncultured bacterium
Lineage: Bacteria
Description: partial 16S ribosomal RNA
Rfam family: Bacterial small subunit ribosomal RNA
Source: RNAcentral